GACGAACGCUGGCGGCGCGCCUAACACAUGCAAGUCGAACGAGCGAGAGAGAGCUUGCUUUCUCGAGCGAGUGGCGAACGGGUGAGUAACGCGUGAGGAACCUGCCUCAAAGAGGGGGACAACAGUUGGAAACGACUGCUAAUACCGCAUAAGCCCACGACCCGGCAUCGGGUAGAGGGAAAAGGAGCAAUCCGCUUUGAGAUGGCCUCGCGUCCGAUUAGCUAGUUGGUGAGGUAACGGCCCACCAAGGCGACGAUCGGUAGCCGGACUGAGAGGUUGAACGGCCACACUGGGACUGAGACACGGCCCAGACUCCUACGGGAGGCAGCAGUGGGGAAUAUUGAACAAUGGGGGAAACCCUGAUGCAGCCACGCCGCGUGGAGGAAGAAGGUCUUCGGAUUGUAAACUCCUGUUGUUGAGGAAGCUAAUGACGGUACUCAACAAGGAGGUGACGGCUAACUACGUG
Molecule: ribosomal RNA, 466 nt
Filed under: uncultured bacterium
Lineage: Bacteria
Description: partial 16S ribosomal RNA
Rfam family: Bacterial small subunit ribosomal RNA
Source: RNAcentral